GUGCCAGCAGCCGCGGUAAUACGGGGGGGGCAAGCGUUGUUCGGAAUUACUGGGCGUAAAGGGUGCGUAGGCGGUGCUCUAAGUCGGAUGUGAAAACUCUGGGCUCAACCCAGAGCCUGCAUCCGAAACUGGAGUGCUAGAGUUCUGGAGGGGGUAGCGGAAUUCCUGGUGUAGCGGUGAAAUGCGUAGAUAUCAGGAGGAACACCGGUGGCGAAGGCGGCUACCUGGACAGAAACUGACGCUGAGGCACGAAAGCUAGGGGAGCAAACAGGAUUAGAUACCCUGGUAGUCC
This 292-nucleotide ribosomal RNA is filed under the name uncultured bacterium. Its description in RNAcentral is "partial 16S ribosomal RNA". It matches the Rfam family "Bacterial small subunit ribosomal RNA", at positions 505 to 796 of the family's 1533-position model. The record is from RNAcentral.